UCUGCUGGGCGACUCUGGG
This 19-nucleotide unclassified non-coding RNA is filed under the name Mus musculus (house mouse). Its description in RNAcentral is "oocyte_clustered_small_RNA5681". Lineage: Eukaryota; Metazoa; Chordata; Mammalia; Rodentia; Muridae. The record is from RNAcentral.